This 344-nucleotide unclassified non-coding RNA is filed under the name soil metagenome. RNAcentral's name for it is "partial contains 5.8S ribosomal RNA, internal transcribed spacer 2, and large subunit ribosomal RNA". The stretch from base 1 to 120 matches the Rfam family "5.8S ribosomal RNA", at positions 35 to 154 of the family's 154-position model. The record is from RNAcentral.
GAUGAAGAACGCAGCGAAACGCGAUAAGUAAUGUGAAUUGCAGAAUCCAGUGAAUCAUCGAAUCUUUGAACGCACAUUGCGCCCGCCAGCAUUCUGGCGGGCAUGCCUGUUCGAGCGUCAUUUCAACCCUCGACCUCCCCUUGGGGAGGUCGGCGUUGGGGACCGGCAGCACACCGCCGGCCCUGAAAUGGAGUGGCGGCCCGUCCGCGGCGACCUCUGCGCAGUAAUACAGCUCGCACCGGGACCCCGACGCGGCCACGCCGUAAAACACCCAACUUCUGAACGUUUGACCUCGGAUCAGGUAGGAAUACCCGCUGAACUUAAGCAUAUCAAUAAGCGGAGGA